CCUACGGGAGGCAGCAGUGGGGAAUAUUGCACAAUGGGGGAAACCCUGAUGCAGCGACGCCGCGUGAGUGAAGAAGUAAUUCGUUAUGUAAAGCUCUAUCAGCAGGGAAGAAAAUGACGGUACCUGAGUAAGAAGCCCCGGCUAACUACGUGCCAGCAGCCGCGGUAAUACGUAGGGGGCAAGCGUUAUCCGGAUUUACUGGGUGUAAAGGGAGCGUAGACGGGAGUGCAAGUCUGGAGUGAAAGGCGGGGGCUCAACCCCCGGACUGCAAUGGAAACUGUACGGCUGGAGUGCAGGAGAGGUAAGUGGAAUUCCUGGUGUAGCGGUGAAAUGCGUAGAUAUUAGGAAGAACCCCAGUGGCGAAGGCGGCUUACUAGACUGUAACUGACGUUGAGGCUCGAAAGUGUGGGGAGCAAACAGGAUUAGAUACCCUUUUAGUC
This 440-nucleotide ribosomal RNA is filed under the name uncultured bacterium. Its description in RNAcentral is "partial 16S ribosomal RNA". It matches the Rfam family "Bacterial small subunit ribosomal RNA", at positions 338 to 795 of the family's 1533-position model. The record is from RNAcentral.